UACAGAGGUCUCAAGCGUUGUUCGGAUUCAUUGGGCGUAAAGGGUGCGUAGGCGGCGCGGUAAGUCGGGUGUGAAAUCUCGGGGCUUAACUCCGAAACUGCAUUCGAUACUGCCGUGCUUGAGGACUGGAGAGGAGACUGGAAUUUACGGUGUAGCGGUGAAAUGCGCAGAUAUCGGGAAGAACACCCGUGGCGAAGGCGGGUCUCUGGGCCGAUACUGACGCUGAGGAGCGAAAGCGUGGGGAGCAAACAGG
RNAcentral lists this ribosomal RNA (253 nucleotides) under uncultured bacterium. RNAcentral's name for it is "partial 16S ribosomal RNA". It matches the Rfam family "Bacterial small subunit ribosomal RNA", at positions 524 to 776 of the family's 1533-position model. The record is from RNAcentral.